RNAcentral lists this non-coding RNA (186 nucleotides) under Verrucomicrobiota bacterium. RNAcentral describes it as "Verrucomicrobia bacterium 6S RNA". It matches the Rfam family "6S / SsrS RNA". Rfam says of the family: E. coli 6S RNA was the first non coding RNA to be sequenced, but its function was unknown until recently. It consists of 184 nucleotides that fold into an extended hairpin structure with a large single-stranded internal bulge. The 6S RNA specifically associates with RNA polymerase holoenzyme containing the sigma70 specificity factor. Lineage: Bacteria; Pseudomonadati; Verrucomicrobiota. The record is from RNAcentral.
AGACUUCUGCAUCGUUCGAGAAGUUGCUUUGGUUCUUUUCCUUACUCCAAUCAUUAAGGGAACCCAUCGACAGCCGUUUGCAGUCAAGCCGUAAAUCGGAAGACUAAGAGCGUCGCGAGGGUACCCACCUGGCCUGCAAAGGUAAUAGAACCGGAGAGUCCGAUGCACGGCGAAGGCAGAAGUCUC